This 468-nucleotide ribosomal RNA is filed under the name uncultured bacterium. RNAcentral's name for it is "partial 16S ribosomal RNA". It matches the Rfam family "Bacterial small subunit ribosomal RNA", at positions 28 to 507 of the family's 1533-position model. The record is from RNAcentral.
GACGAACGCUGGCGGCGUGCUUAACACAUGCAAGUCGAACGGAAAGGCCCUGCUUUUGUGGGGUGCUCGAGUGGCGAACGGGUGAGUAACACGUGAGUAACCUGCCCUUGACUUUGGGAUAACUUCAGGAAACUGGGGCUAAUACCGGAUAGGAGCUCCUGCUGCAUGGUGGGGGUUGGAAAGUUUCGGCGGUUGGGGAUGGACUCGCGGCUUAUCAGCUUGUUGGUGGGGUAGUGGCUUACCAAGGCUUUGACGGGUAGCCGGCCUGAGAGGGUGACCGGCCACAUGGGGACUGAGAUACGGCCCAGACUCCUACGGGAGGCAGCAGUGGGGAAUAUUGCACAAUGGGCGGAAGCCUGAUGCAGAAACGCCGCGUGCGGGAUGACGGCCUUCGGGUUGUAAACCGCUUUCGCCUGUGACGAAGCGUGAGUGACGGUAAUGGGUAAAGAAGCACCGGCUAACUACGUG